RNAcentral lists this ribosomal RNA (962 nucleotides) under uncultured organism. RNAcentral describes it as "bacterial SSU rRNA". It matches the Rfam family "Bacterial small subunit ribosomal RNA", at positions 30 to 964 of the family's 1533-position model. The record is from RNAcentral.
UGAACGCUGGCGGCGUGCUUACACAUGCAAGUCGAACGAGAAAUCUUUAGCUUGCUAGAGAAAGUAAAGUGGCGCACGGGUGAGUAACGCGUGGGUAAUCUGCCUCCGAAUCGGGGAUAACAUUGCGAAAGCGAUGCUAAUACCGGAUAAAAUCUGGUUGGCUUAGGUGAACCGGAUCAAAGGUGGUCUCUUUAUAAAAGCUACCGUUUGGAGAUGAGCUCGCGUACCAUUAGCUAGUUGGUGAGGUAAAGGCUCACCAAGGCGACGAUGGUUAGCUGGUCUGAGAGGAUGAUCAGCCACACCGGAACUGGAACACGGUCCGGACUCCUACGGGAGGCAGCAGUGAGGAAUUUUGCGCAAUGGGGGAAACCCUGACGCAGCAACGCCGCGUGAGUGAUGAAGGCUUUCGGGUCGUAAAGCUCUGUCAGGUGGGAAGAACCCACCAAGUGUUAAGACCACUUGGUGCUGACGGUACCACCGAAGGAAGCACCGGCUAACUCCGUGCCAGCAGCCGCGGUAAUACGGGGGGUGCGAGCGUUAUUCGGAAUCAUUGGGCGUAAAGGGCGCGCAGGCGGUUUUGUAAGUCAGAUGUGAAAUCCCGGGGCUUAACCCCGGAAGUGCAUAUGAAACUAUGAGACUUGAGUAUGGGAGAGGGAAGCGGAAUUCCUGGUGUAGCGGUGAAAUGCGUAGAUAUCAGGAGGAACACCGGUGGCGAAGGCGGCUUCCUGGACCAAUACUGACGCUGAGGCGCGAAGGCGUGGGGAGCGAACAGGAUUAGAUACCCUGGUAGUCCACGCAGUAAACGUUGAUCACUAGGUGUAGCGGGUAUUGACCCUUGCUGUGCCGGAGUUAACGCAUUAAGUGAUCCGNCUGGGGAGUACGAUCACAAGAUUAAAACUCAAAGGAAUUGACGGGGGCCCGCACAAGCGGUGGAGCAUGUGGUUUACUUCGACGCAACGCGA